GAGGGCUCAAUUCAGUGGAAGACAUACGGUUAGUUAGUUUACCAAAUUUGAAGCACGUUUGGUUCAAGAUUCCACCAGAAAUCACAGCCUUCCAAAACCUGCGAAAGUUGAUUAUACAAGAUUGUGAUAAUUUAAUAAACCUUUUCUCAAUUUGCUCGGCCAAACUUUUACGAAAGCUACAAUCAAUAGAGAUUAGAAGGUGCAAGAGGAUGGAGGAAAUUAUUGGAAAAGAGGAUGAAGAAAUUAGCACGCAAAAAAUUGAGUUCCCUCAACUAAGGUCUCUGACAUUUGAGGAUUUACCCAACCUCAACAGUUUCUGCAAUAGGAUUUAUGCUCUUGAAUUUCCAUUUCUAGAAAGAUUGGAGUUUCGGAAAUGUAAAAGGAUGGAGACAUUCUCCUAUGGAUCAUUAAGCAUGCCAAAGCUAGAGAGGGUUAUGAUUGAGGGCAGCGAUUCAGUGGAAGUAAUAUUUUCAUUUGAAGGGCUGAUUAAUGGAGUGCUCAAUUCAGUGGAAGAGAUAUGCUUAGUUAAUUUACCAAAUUUGAAGCACGUUUGGUUCAAGAUUCCACCAGAAGUCACAGCCUUCCAAAACCUGCGAGAGUUGAUUGUAAUAGAUUGUGAUAAUUUAAUAAACCUUUUCUCAAUUUGCUCGGCCAAACUUGUAGGAAAUCUACAAUCAAUAGAGAUUAGAAGGUGCAACAGGAUGGAGGAAAUUAUUGGAAAAGAGGAUGAAGAAAUUAGCACGCAAAAAAUUGUGUUCCCUCAACUAAGGUCUCUGACACUUGAGGAUUUACCCAAC
This 797-nucleotide long non-coding RNA is filed under the name Manihot esculenta (cassava). Its description in RNAcentral is "long non-coding RNA (MESC_LNC001295)". Lineage: Eukaryota; Viridiplantae; Streptophyta; Magnoliopsida; Malpighiales; Euphorbiaceae. The record is from RNAcentral.